UCGGCGUGCAGGCGGGCCAGGACGCGGCGGACGUUGCCGUCGUUCACGGCGCGCGCCUCGUUCAGGGCGAGGCUGCUGAC
Molecule: transfer RNA, 80 nt
Filed under: Deinococcus indicus
Lineage: Bacteria; Thermotogati; Deinococcota; Deinococci; Deinococcales; Deinococcaceae
Description: tRNA-Gly
Source: RNAcentral